GGAGAGGUGCCGGAGUGGUUGAACGGGGCGGUCUCGAAAACCGUUAUGGCUCUCGUGGUCAUCGUGGGUUCGAAUCCCACCCUCUCCG
RNAcentral lists this transfer RNA (88 nucleotides) under Anaerolineaceae bacterium. RNAcentral describes it as "tRNA-Ser". It matches the Rfam family "tRNA". From Rfam's summary of the family: Transfer RNA (tRNA) molecules are approximately 80 nucleotides in length. Their secondary structure includes four short double-helical elements and three loops (D, anti-codon, and T loops). Further hydrogen bonds mediate the characteristic L-shaped molecular structure. tRNAs have two regions of fundamental functional importance: the anti-codon, which is responsible for specific mRNA codon recognition, and the 3' end, to which the tRNAs corresponding amino acid is attached (by aminoacyl-tRNA synthetases). tRNAs cope with the degeneracy of the genetic code in two manners: having more than one tRNA (with a specific anti-codon) for a particular amino acid; and 'wobble' base-pairing, i.e. permitting non-standard base-pairing at the 3rd anti-codon position. Lineage: Bacteria; Bacillati; Chloroflexota; Anaerolineae; Anaerolineales; Anaerolineaceae. The record is from RNAcentral.